Tympanuchus pallidicinctus (lesser prairie-chicken) is the source of this 425-nucleotide long non-coding RNA. RefSeq lists it as uncharacterized. The transcript has 3 exons. Lineage: Eukaryota; Metazoa; Chordata; Aves; Galliformes; Phasianidae. The record is from RefSeq and is a predicted model, not a curated record.
GGGAUCUAUGGGGUCUCAAUGGGUCCCUGUGGGUCUCUAUGGGGUCUGUGGUGUCUGUAUGGGUUCCAAUGGGUCCCAAUAGGUUCUAUGGGGUCCCAAUGGGUCCCUAUGGGUUCUAUGGGGUCUCAAUGGGUUCCAAUGGGUCCCCAUAGGUUCUAUGGGGCCUCAAUGGGUCUCAAUGGGUUCUAUGGGGUCCCAAUGGGUCCCUAUGGGUUCUAUGGGGUCUCAAUGGGUUCCAAUGGGUCCCCAUAGGUUCUAUGGGGUCUCAAUGGGUCUCAAUGGGUUCCUAUGGGGCCCAAUAGGUUCUAUGGGGUCUCAAUGGGUCUCAAUGGGUUCCAAUGGGUCCCAAUGGGUUCUAUGGGUCUCAAUGGGUCUCAAUGGGUUCCAAUGGGUCCCAAUGGGUUCUAUGGGGUCCCAAUGGGUCC